UUUCGCCUUCAUUCAUUCCCAUAUCAUGUAUGGUAUCGCUGCUUGGGGGAACACGUAUGACUGUCAUCUAUCACCCAUUCAGAACAUACAAAAUCAGGCGAUCCGCAUUAUCACUAAUAGCUCACGAUACUCCAGUGCAGGCCAUCUACUCCAAGACAACAAAAUCCUACCUGUUCAUGCACUGUAUGGUUGUUGAAAUCAACACGGCGAAAAAACGAGGACGCGGGAAGAACAAAUACACGCCACUGCACCGUCUCGCAACUAACCUUAUAAGAAAGCCCACCAUUAGAAAGAAACCAAAGUUCAUCAGUCUUAAUGCAUCCCAUGCUGGACGUAUCGGCGCAUGUGUACUGGGAGCGAAGCACAGCAGGACAAAGAUGAACAAGAGGUCAAAGAGAGCAUGUGCCCGUUCAUGAUCACAGUUAUUUCUGUUCUCCCAUCGCAAACCAAUUCUCUGCUUAAACAGCUCCACUGUUAAUAUCUGAAAAAGGUUUUCACAUGCCCAAUCUUUUACUACGUUCCAAAUGAUCUUUCAUUUUGUUCCUAAAUAUGUGCACCAUCUGAAUUUCAAAGCAUUUUUUAGCAAAAUAAAGGUAUUUUGACAAUUGCGAUCUAUCCAUCUAUCUAGCUGCCUGUGUUAGGGUGCUCGGGUGAUCACCUCCUUUCCUAGUACGUUCCAAAACUGGCAUAUAAGAGUAUGAGUGUAAGACCAACAUGACUGACGCGUUGUGGCUUGAAUGACAUGAAAUACCUGUCGGGUAAACCAUGAAACCUUUUCCCGUACACAUCUGGUGCAUACCCAUGACCCAUGAAAUUUGGUCGUGUACCGCAGAUUAUAAGCCCACAGUAAGGCUUUAUUCUCAAGUAUAGCUAAAACAGACAUUGGAAAGCUUAUCAUGAUAACUUUAAAAACCUCAUAUGAAAAAACAAAAACUGCUGCCUGUUUCAGUGACAAUGCCGGAGAGUAAAAUAUUUUAAAACCAUACAGAAUAAAAAUCACAGUUAAAGCCAAAAGUGAACCCAGGCAUUUUGUGAAGUAGCCAAUUUUUCUACCACAGAGCCACAUGACUACUUAAAGCUACAUCCACCACGGCGGAUCAGGGGCUAAGGUGCUUACCUGCCGACCCGAAGUUCGGGAGUUUGAUACUGGCCACGGCAGUUACAUCUGUACAACUUGUUACAAUGGAACAAGCGAGUAUGCCUACGAAGAGUUAUUAUUAUUGACAAAGUGUUAGCCACAACGAGCUGGUUCAGGUAGAAACGCGGCAAACACGAACCACACGAACAUCGUCUUUUUUCACACUGGCACAUAGAUGGCACCGCUUUGCUCUGGUACAUAUUAUUUUCUUUGGAAGAGGGUGCUUAAUGUAUGAAAUCAGUGCCUUACAACGUCUUAAUUUUGAAAGCUUGAUUACCACGUGUAUUCAACUUCAUAGGAAAGAUAUGCCUUAUUUUUAUCGUGCUUCACAUUGCUACAGGGGGCAGGAGCAGGCGCACUGUUGUUUAUACUAUGGUAUACACUGUAAUCUAUUGCAGAUAGAUUUAUUGUCCUCUGUGGUCUCUGAUGCACCCAAAAAUACUCAUACAUUUAAAGCCUCCCAUGUUGGGUGCCUUGUCUAGAACUUCAUGCUUGCUAUGGCAAAGGGGCUAAGAAAGCAUGUGUUCCUAGUAAACAUCUAUAAAGUAGCUUGUAACGAGCCUGUAAUCAGUGCAACUUAUUUCAUAUGACUACCAUGUUGAACGAAUCACUGGCCUUCUUGCUGAAUGAGUUUGUAACAACGAAGAGUUUGUAAUUUGUUCGCAGUGCACAUGAAAAAAGCUAGUUUCAUCGAUCUCUUGCUUGUCAGCACCAAUGUAGAAUGUGACAUUCUUGUGUGCCUUCAAAUAAACUGAUAUUCCUAA
Molecule: long non-coding RNA, 1902 nt
Organism: Rhipicephalus microplus (southern cattle tick)
Lineage: Eukaryota; Metazoa; Arthropoda; Arachnida; Ixodida; Ixodidae
Source: RefSeq, a predicted model, not a curated record